AAACCAACAGGGAUUGCCUCAGUAACGGCGAGUGAAGCGGCAAAAGCUCAAAUUUGAAAUCCUUCGGGAGUUGUAAUUUGUAGGUUGGGAGACCCCGCGGCUAGUGGCACCAAGUCCCUUGGAACAGGGCGCCUUAGAGGGUGAGAGCCCCGUAGGUACCACAACACCGUCUUGUGUCUCCUCUCCAAAGAGUCGAGUUGUUUGGGAAUGCAGCUCAAAGUGGGUGGUAAAUUCCAUCUAAAGCUAAAUACCGGCGAGAGACCGAUAGCGAACAAGUACAGUGAUGGAAAGAUGAAAAGCACUUUGAAAAGAGAGUGAAACAGUACGUGAAAUUGUUGAAAGGGAAGGGCUUGCAAGCAGACACGGCCUUCGUGCCGGGCCAGCAUCGGUUGCUAGGGGUGGAUAAGGAACAAGGAAUGUAGCUCCUCGGAGUAUUAUAGCCUUGCGCGAUACACCCACUGGCGACCGAGGCCUGCGGUAUUCCUACCUAGGAUGCUGGCGUAAUGGUUGCAAGCCGCCCGUCUUGAAACACGGACCAC
Molecule: ribosomal RNA, 539 nt
Filed under: Sungouiella intermedia
Lineage: Eukaryota; Fungi; Ascomycota; Pichiomycetes; Serinales; Metschnikowiaceae
Description: eukaryotic LSU rRNA
Rfam family: Eukaryotic large subunit ribosomal RNA
Source: RNAcentral